Molecule: unclassified non-coding RNA, 331 nt
Filed under: soil metagenome
Description: partial contains 5.8S ribosomal RNA, internal transcribed spacer 2, and large subunit ribosomal RNA
Rfam family: 5.8S ribosomal RNA (bases 1-120)
Source: RNAcentral
GAUGAAGAACGUAGCAAAAUGCGAUAAGUAAUGUGAAUUGCAGAAUUCAGUGAAUCAUCGAAUCUUUGAACGCACAUUGCGCCCGCCAGUAUACUGGCGGGCAUGCCUGUUCGAGCGUCAUUUCAACCCUCAAGCACAGCUUGGUGUUGGGACUCGCGUUAAUUCGCGUUCCUCAAAUUGAUUGGCGGUCACGUCGAGCUUCCAUAGCGUAGUAGUAAAACCCUCGUUACUGGUAAUCGUCGCGGCCACGCCGUUAAACCCCAACUUCUGAAUGUUGACCUCGGAUCAGGUAGGAAUACCCGCUGAACUUAAGCAUAUCAAUAAGCGAGGA